GCUCACCGGACCCUUGGCUGUGCUGGCACAGCACACAUCGCCCUUGCUGUGCUCAUGUGUGUCUAACUGCCUACAACAGAGGGAUGGGGAUGUAUUCAAGACAACCUCUGGGGAUCCAUUUGCCUGCACACAUAAAAGUCCAAUAAGACACGGACAGGAGUUUCCAGCAAAGGAACUAAAGACUUAUUUAAGGAACUGGCACCAAACCUGGAGACACAGGGUCUGCCUUAUUUCAUCACACUGGCUUUCUUCACAAAGCAGGAAAUGCAUUAUUACAACUCUGAUCACCAUGACUAAGGAGGCUUGCUCUCUGUUCCAGAAAAGAACUCGUUCCAAGGAUCAGGGUCUGAGGUGGGGCAUCAAACAAAGAUGACUGGAUGAAGUUUCCCUCCCAGCCCAGGGCUGGGCCAGGUGGACUAGAGAGAAGCUCACAGUUCCCCCUGGCAACACGCACUUAGAGGAGCGGGAACAUAAUGUCCCUGAAGAAAGCAGUUGUUGAAAUGUGUACACAAAAGUCUGAAGGUCCAUUGUCACUGUUGGAGCCAAUCUCUGCAAGUGUGUCCUGCACUGCGGGAGGGGAACAUUGCUGGAGGUUCGGCCAGUGGCUCUCC
Molecule: long non-coding RNA, 611 nt
Organism: Myotis brandtii (Brandt's bat)
Lineage: Eukaryota; Metazoa; Chordata; Mammalia; Chiroptera; Vespertilionidae
Exons: 3
Source: RefSeq, a predicted model, not a curated record